GAACCUUCCGACUUCACUUCCUGGAGGCUUUUGGUCGGGGCUUGAAACAAGGAAUCCUGGCAGCCCAACCUUGAUGUAGACACACACCUCUGGUCUGCACCAUUUUCACUAAACAAAUAUCAGUUAAUCCGUGCAGCUGUACUCCUGGGGUUUGCAUCAUCCAGACCAGAGGUUGCAGUUGGGUGCCCAUCGGCCUGUCCUUGUUUUCCAGACCUGUUAGGCCUUCAAGGUGUGUUUUUAAAUGUUUGAAUUAGUUAUCUGUAUUUAAAAACCAGGGUGUUUCAUACAGUAAGGUGGACUUUUGACUUCCUUUGAAACAUGAGAAGACCAGAGCGCCUGGCCUGCCAGAGCAGAGCCCAUGUUAGAUGUGACCGUCUGUACCUCCUCUGUUAUCCCCUCCUCCCCACCCUGUGCACCUGAGUUUUCUAGUUCUGCCUUAAACAAACUACAUUACCCAGUGCUCUCCUUUUUUAAAAAUUAUUAUUAAAGUAAUAGAUGAUUUAUAUACUCUAGGUCUAGGCCUAAACACUCAUAAUUAAAAUCUCAAUUUCCACAAAUUCAUCUUGACAGACUCAGCCAAUCAAAAACUGACUCUAUCUAUGUUUCCUGAAAACAGGUGCCAUGGAAUGUCCCUGUCCUGGAGCAUGUGGCCUCAGGACUUAAACCUGGCUUGUACUCUCUGUAGGUACUUGUUAUGCAAGGUUAGGCAAGUUCAUUACUGUCCUGGAACUUGUUUCCUUAAAAAUAGAUAUAAUAAAUCUACUUCCUCGCAUUACUGAAUAUUAAAUUAUUAUGUGUGAAAGCACCUUCAACAGUCCCUGGCCCACAAUUAUCACCCUAAAUAUGAGCUUCCCUCAUCCUUGAGAUUUUACUUAACUGAUGUGAGUACUUGAGAGAGAAUUCUGUAUUGUAUCUUUUUACUUAACUACAAAACCUUCAGUAAAAUCCAAAUUUUGAUAUGUAGGAGACUUACCUGGAUACUUGUUUAAAAGGCCACAUUUUGGGUUUCUCACCAGGAUUUUGACUCAGGAAAUCCUAAAUGGGGCCCUGGAGCUUGACAUUUUACCAUUUAAUUCUCGUGUCACAUUGCAGUCUGGUAGAACAAUUAUUUCCAUGUUACACGUAGGCACUUGGCAUAGCAUGCUUAGGUGUUCAUUUGAUAGUCGUGGAAUUUAAUUUCUUUUGACAGAUUUGUCUUUCGAAACUCAGUUUAUGUUCCUUCACCCAUCAGAUAUUUAUGGAGCAACUUCUGUGAGCCAGGCACUGUUCCAGAAGCUGGGAGUAUGACAGUGACCAAAUUAAAAAUCCCUGCCCACGUGGAACUUCUAUUCUAGUCAGGGAAGAAAGGCCACAUAAACAGCCUGUUUUGAAUUCCUGUGUAUUCGAUCAUUAUCUGUGCCCUGACAUUUGCCAUUUGCUGCAAUCUUGUUUGCUUUGACUCCUACCUCAGUUCCCUGCCAGGUGUACUUCUUUCCCAACCCUGGUCUGCAUAACCCUUACUCAGUGGCGAUUCUAUCUGUGACUGAGUGCUCUGCUGUUAUGCAGAUGAUUUUGGAAACAAAACGUCCGUAUCUCCUUUAGGCUUUACCCAAGGUUAACCUCUCAUUUCCAAAAGCCAUUAAGUUUCCACAACAGGCUUUUAAAAGCACAACUUGUAUAUAUAUUCUCUUCUUACAAAAUAUUAGGCUUGAUAGAAGUUGUGACUCUGCUCUCAUUUGUUUUGUUCUGUUAUCCUAUUGCUUUUCUUUUUCAGCCUCUUAGCUGUUAUGUCAAAUAUAAAACAACUCUGACUACUUUGCAUUCAUAGUCCAUAAGUUACUUUGAGUAGUACUUUAAAUAAUUUAUAAGUAAAAGAUAAUCUUAUCCUUAAAUAUGUGCUUUUUUUAGGUAUAUUUUGUUGCAUUAUUGAGCUCUUUGUAUUUUUCUGGAUGCAAUACUCAUUCUAGAGAAAUAUUAGAAGUCUAAUUUGAUAAUAAAAAUGAGAGGGGAUUUCAGUAUUCCAAAUAUUCUACAAAAUGGAUUACAUCUGAAAAUUCAGGUAAAGAAAUAUAAUUUAAUUUAAUUUAAUUUCUUCUUUAAAAAGGUAACUUUUUGUGAAAAUGCCUCAAAAUGUAUUCUUUCUAUCACUGCAUGGGUAUAUUUGUAUAUUUGACCUCUACCUGAUGUCAUCUUUGGCUCCUAAUUGCAUACUUUUUAUCAUUUCCCAAGUCCAUUUGACUUCCUGUUAAGAAAAAUGAACUGGGUUAAUGGAAAGUCUUUGGGAAACAAAACACCAAGGAUUUCACUUUGUCCUGUGAUGCACUUUGUAGAAGACAUACCAGUUUUUAAUCAGACAGCUGGUAAAUAUACAAGUAGAAUUAAAUGUGGUUGGACCAUGGACACUCACGCUAAUAAGUGGGCAAGAUGCUGUGCUUAGUAGAAGUUUAAACUGUCGCAUCGGAACUUAACUGGGGAAUGUGUACAUGGACCACCUUUGAAAGUGGCCAUUGAACUGAUGGGCCUACCCAUAAGAGCAGCUGGAAUUUUAAAACCAUAAGAGCUGGCUAUUCUUAUAGGAUAAGAAUUGAGACCUCAUGAUGUGAACACACAGUGCAAUCAGAACCCAUGGUUACUUAGAGAACCUGAAAAAAAAGAAAUCAUAUGCUCCAUUCCUUUCUACUUCUUUUUCUUCCCUAGGGGGUUGAAAUGGGAGGUGGCAUAAGGGUGAAAAUUUUGAACCUGGGCCUAUGCAAAGCCACAGUAAUAAUUGUAAGAAACCCACUUUUGUUUUAAUUUAUGUUUCCCUCCACCGAACUGACUUAGUGAUAGAAAUACCUGGAAUAUACCCCAUAACUUGGGUGUCUUGACUUUAGGCUCAAGGUGGAGACAUAGGAGGGGAGAUGCAAGGGGCUCAGAUGGCAUCAGUGAAGGAAACUAACAAAAGCAGAUUUUACAAGCCAAAAAGAAGCAGCUUCUUCAGCUCUAGUUUUUGCUGCAUCUUUUAUCAUGCCUAGGUUUUCCUUCUCAUUGGUAACAUUUUCAUGCCCCGCCCCAAUACCUCUCCAGUAAGAUCUUUAACAGGCGCAAUGGGACUUCUGCACUUCCCUUUAGUAACUGGUGACACAGUUCCUCUUGUAGUACAGAUACAUCCAGAUUUGGUCACUCUUCUGCUUUUAUGAUAUUAUUUUAGAAAUCACACUGUUAAAAGCUGUGUUUGAACACAUUUUUUAAAAAAUAAGAACUUUAAAUAUGCUUAAAAAGCUUAAGUUUAUGCUUUUAAAUAAAUGGGACCAGUGUCUUUAAUUUUUCAUAGCUAAAAUCUACAGUAAUUGUUAUCAGCCUACCCUCUUUUACUUUCAACUUGUAAAGAAAGUCUCCUUCUUAAGUUCCCUUUUGUACACCUAGCACGACCAGCUCUUAUGAUAACUGUCGUUUCAAGGAAACCCAUGUAUCUCAGUGAGCAGCAUUAAAUCACCAUGUUGCCAAGAAUUCCAGAGGUUUCUUCUCUAAUCGUGGUCACCACCAAUGUCUUCAUGAUAGAUAUGUUUUUAUUUCAUUGGGGGGAUGGUAGGUAAGACUUUUCUGGUCAAUUUAUUAAACUUUUGACUAUCUAGAAUUUAACUUUUUCAAUAAAGUGGCCAAAGAAUCCCACAAAUGACUACAGGUGCUAAUACAUAUGACGUAAAUGACACGUGCUGACUGGGGAAGGUGAGCCACUCUUGUGAGGUGGGGGAAUAAGUGAGUUUUGUUGUUUUGUUUUGGAAGGUGAGGGCUGGCGGGUGCAGGUAGAAUGCAGUCAGGAAACUCAGCAGGCUCAGAGAGGAAUCACACAACUAGCCAGAGAGGGAGCUAGAAACAGAUCAGAUAGUUAAGGGAACUAGAAUUGUUUAACCUGCAAAGGGUAAAGGAAGGGAAAGAUUAUUUUAUCGAUACAAAGGAAAUAUGAAUUUCAACCACAGUUGAACAUAAAAAGAGCAAACUUUUGAUUUAGAAUCAGUAGUUGCCAUGAGUUCAUUAAUAGAACCUCAAUUCUCUGACACUUUGUCCACAGUACAAGCAUCGUGAUAAAGACUGAAAAAGUAUCACCCAGAUAUUUGAAAAGUCAGCUUUCACCCAAACAAGAAAAUUUUAAAGCUGUCCAGUGGGCUUUGGUGUUGGUCUUGACACCCUGCAGCUUUCUUCUCACAGUGGCCGUGCUGGCGGUGGGGUGGGGGUCAUGAGGGCAGAGACCCACUCCAUGAAAUCAACUUGAAAAGCUUGAGGUAUCUUUCAAAUAGAUUUUUCUAGCUUAAUAAUAACCAACUAUUGAUUUAUCAUGAGAUAAAUUUUCUACAAACUUGAAUAUAUUUUUAUUUCUACUUGGUUGAGUUGGGGUAGUGAGUAAAAUCUAAGUGAUUGCCCCUUAAUCUAAACGUUAGCCGUUUAGAAACACAAUGUGAGACACUUCCAAAAUGAAUAAACAUCUCCUGCUGUUUAAAUAGCCAACCUUCCAGCUGAUUAAGAAACCGCCCAAGCAGGUCUUCUGAGUCACCAGUCACCAUAUGAUUCUGGACAUGUUGCUGACCUCUCUUCAGGCUUAUGUGAAGUUAGUAUUUUUUUCCUCUCACCAACUCACAGUGGUGUCUUGGGGACAGAAA
Phyllostomus discolor (pale spear-nosed bat) is the source of this 4616-nucleotide long non-coding RNA. RefSeq lists it as uncharacterized. The transcript has 2 exons. Lineage: Eukaryota; Metazoa; Chordata; Mammalia; Chiroptera; Phyllostomidae. The record is from RefSeq and is a predicted model, not a curated record.